This 465-nucleotide ribosomal RNA is filed under the name Vreelandella stevensii. RNAcentral describes it as "partial 16S ribosomal RNA". It matches the Rfam family "Bacterial small subunit ribosomal RNA", at positions 338 to 795 of the family's 1533-position model. The record is from RNAcentral. Lineage: Bacteria; Pseudomonadati; Pseudomonadota; Gammaproteobacteria; Oceanospirillales; Halomonadaceae.
CCUACGGGGCGCUGCAGUGGGGAAUAUUGGACAAUGGGCGAAAGCCUGAUCCAGCCAUGCCGCGUGUGUGAAGAAGGCCUUCGGGUUGUAAAGCACUUUCAGUGGGGAAGAAAGCCUUGGGGCUAAUACCCUCGAGGAAGGACAUCACCCACAGAAGAAGCACCGGCUAACUCCGUGCCAGCAGCCGCGGUAAUACGGAGGGUGCGAGCGUUAAUCGGAAUUACUGGGCGUAAAGCGCGCGUAGGCGGUCUGAUAAGCCGGUUGUGAAAGCCCCGGGCUCAACCUGGGAACGGCAUCCGGAACUGUCAGGCUAGAGUGCAGGAGAGGAAGGUAGAAUUCCCGGUGUAGCGGUGAAAUGCGUAGAGAUCGGGAGGAAUACCAGUGGCGAAGGCGGCCUUCUGGACUGACACUGACGCUGAGGUGCGAAAGCGUGGGUAGCAAACAGGACUAGAUACCCCGGUAGUC